CGAAUGUCCAGAUAACAAAAAAGUAGGGCACUAGAAAUUUCCCACAAUGCAUCUUGAAAAGUAGUGAGCAUCGAUGCUCCCUAGACGGCUCGAUAUUACCCAUCGUGCAUUGCGAGUCUCCAGCAAAAUGACGUAAGAGCAGCCUCUCAGCAGCAGCGCGAGCCGGGAGCCGGAGCUGUGACACAUAAAUGGACAGACGAGGACGUGGAGCGGCUGGUGCGGCUCCGGUGCUGUAGUAGCCUCUUCAGUGGGAAGAGAUUGGCCUCGGCCGCCGGCUGGGAUGACUCCCCGCUCUGCUGGCCCUGGUCGUCCUGCUCCUGGUGGACAGCCUCUGUCUCUGGCUCCUGGUGGACAGCCUCUGUCUCUG
Molecule: long non-coding RNA, 367 nt
Organism: Salarias fasciatus (jewelled blenny)
Lineage: Eukaryota; Metazoa; Chordata; Actinopteri; Blenniiformes; Blenniidae
Exons: 3
Source: RefSeq, a predicted model, not a curated record